CCAAUAGCGUAUAUUAAAGUUGUUGCAGUUAAAAAGCUCGUAGUUGAAUUUCGGGAUCAAAGGAUCGGUCAUGCCUUGGUAUGUACUGGUUUUAUUGGUUUUCACCUUCUAAAGAACCAUAAUGUCAUUCAUUUGAUGUUUUGGGGAAUUAGGACUGUUACCUUGAAAAAAUUAGAGUGUUUAAAGCAGGCUUACGCUUGAAUACAUUAGCAUGGAAUAAUGAAAUAGGACAACAGAUUAUAUUUUGUUGGUUUCUAGGAUCGAUGUAAUGAUUAAUAGGGAUAGUUGGGGGCAUUAGUAUUCAAUUGUAAGAGGGGAAAUUCUUGGAUUUAUUGAAGACUAACUACUGCGAAAGCAUUUGCCAAGGAUGUUUUCAUUAAUCAAGAACGAAAGUUAGGGGAUCGAAGACGAUCAGAUACCGUCGUAGUCUUAACCAUAAACUAUGCCGACUAGGGAUCGGAUGAUGUUAAUUUUAUAAUGACUCACUCGGCACCUUACG
RNAcentral lists this ribosomal RNA (499 nucleotides) under uncultured Glomeromycotina. Its description in RNAcentral is "partial small subunit ribosomal RNA". It matches the Rfam family "Eukaryotic small subunit ribosomal RNA", at positions 591 to 1092 of the family's 1831-position model. Lineage: Eukaryota; Fungi; Glomeromycota. The record is from RNAcentral.